GCGUCCCUGGGCGCAAGCCUGAUGCAGCCAUGCCGCGUGUGUGAAGAAGGCCUUCGGGUUGUAAAGCACUUUCAGCGGGGAGGAAGGGAGUAAAGUUAAUACCUUUGCUCAUUGACGUUACCCGCAGAAGAAGCACCGGCUAACUCCGUGCCAGCAGCCGCGGUAAUA
Molecule: ribosomal RNA, 168 nt
Filed under: uncultured Enterobacteriaceae bacterium
Lineage: Bacteria; Pseudomonadati; Pseudomonadota; Gammaproteobacteria; Enterobacterales; Enterobacteriaceae
Description: partial 16S ribosomal RNA
Rfam family: Bacterial small subunit ribosomal RNA
Source: RNAcentral